GUAUCUAUACUAUUAAAGCUGAAGUACACAAUGAAUUUACACUAUAGUUUCAAAAUGAAAUAAUUAUCAUUUCUAACUGGGUUAACACGCGGAUCUAACUAACUAAACGGAUAUGUUAAUCGGGUUUAGAGAUUUAAUCUCCAUCGUUCAUUUUUCAGUUGAUAAAAAAAAAUUGGUUUUCAAUAUUAAAGGAAAGAUAAUUAUUACGUUUGAUAUUUAACUUUAUUUGUAAGAUACAAUGCCUAAAAUUUAGCUUACUUGGCAAGAUUUUCUUAAUUUCAAAUAUUUUAUAAAGAUCUUGAUCGAAAUUUUAAAUCUAUACUAUUAAAGCUGAAGUACACAAUGAAUUUACACUAUAGUUUCAAAAUGAAAUAAUUAUCAUUUCUAACUGGGUUAACACGCGAAUCUCAGGUUUAGAGAUUUAAUCUCCAUCGUUCAUUUUUCAGUUGAUAAAAAAAAAAAUUGGUUUUCAAUAUUAAAGGAAAGAUAAUUAUUACGUUUGAUAUUUAACUUUAUUUGUAAGAUACAAUGCCUAAAAU
This 539-nucleotide long non-coding RNA is filed under the name Capsella rubella. Its description in RNAcentral is "long non-coding RNA (CRUB_LNC003036)". The record is from RNAcentral. Lineage: Eukaryota; Viridiplantae; Streptophyta; Magnoliopsida; Brassicales; Brassicaceae.